RNAcentral lists this long non-coding RNA (290 nucleotides) under Vitis vinifera (wine grape). RNAcentral describes it as "long non-coding RNA (VVIN_LNC005871)". Lineage: Eukaryota; Viridiplantae; Streptophyta; Magnoliopsida; Vitales; Vitaceae. The record is from RNAcentral.
AUCAUCAUCACCUUCACAAGGGAGCAGGAACAGUAACAGUUUUUUACAAGAACCAUAUUCUAGAAAUAUUUUUUAGAGGUUGGUGGACACAAGAUGCUGAAAAACUUUGAAGUUCACCAUUGAUGAGAAGAGAACGGUUCCAAAACACUUGCCACGCAAAUAAGAUGAAGAAUUCAGAUAUUGACACUUGGGAAAGCGAUGGUAAGCGAGCCCUGCAGCAUCUAGAUUUGGUUCGACUGCCUCGGCAUCGCGGAAACGCUGAGAAAAGGUGCUGUUGAUAUCCAUGCCAC